This 787-nucleotide ribosomal RNA is filed under the name Staphylococcus pasteuri. RNAcentral describes it as "bacterial SSU rRNA". It matches the Rfam family "Bacterial small subunit ribosomal RNA", at positions 121 to 878 of the family's 1533-position model. The record is from RNAcentral. Lineage: Bacteria; Bacillati; Bacillota; Bacilli; Caryophanales; Staphylococcaceae.
GUAACCUGCCUGUAAGAUUGGGAUAACUCCGGGAAACCGGCGCUAAUACCGGAUAACAUUUUGAACCGCAUGGUUCAAAAUUGAAAGACGGCUUUUACUGGUAAUUUUCAAAUGGACCCGCGGCGAAUUAGCUAUUUGGGGAGGUAUCGGCUCACCAAGGGAACAAUGCGUACCCAACCUGAAAGGGUGAUCGGCAACACUGGAACUGAAACCCGGCCCAAACUCCUACGGAAGGCACAAUUAGGGAAUCUUCCCCAAUGGACAAAAGUCUGACGAAACAACGCCCCGUGAACAAUGAAGGCCUUCGGGCCGUAAAGUUCGGUUGUUAGGGAAAAACAAGAACCAAAGUAACUGUUGGUACCUUGACGGUACCUAACCAAAAAGCCACGGCUAACUACGUGCCACCAGCCGCGGUAAUACGUAGGUGGCAAGCGUUGUCGGAAAUAAUUGGCCUUAAAGCGCCCGCAGGCGGUUCCUUAAUUCGGAUGGGAAAGCCCAGGGUUAAACCUUGAAGGGCCAUUGAAACUGGGGAAAUUUGGAUUGCAAAAAAGAAGAGGGAAUUUCCCCGGUGUUGGGGUGAAUUGCUUAAAAAAUGUGGAGAAAACCCCUGUGCACAAGGCAAUUCUUCUGGUCUGUAUUUUAACCCUAAGGCGCAAAGUGUUGGGGAGCGAACAGGAUUAAUACCCCCGGGGUAUCCCCCCGAUAAAAAUGAUGGCUAAGUGGAAAGAGGGUUUCCCGCCCCUUUAGUGCUGCACAAAAAUCUCAUUAUGACACUUCCUGCGUGGGG